UACGUAGGGUGCAAGCGUUAAUCGGAAUUACUGGGCGUAAAGCGCGCGCAGGCGGUGAUGUAAGACAGGUGUGAAAUCCCCGGGCUUAACCUGGGAACUGCAUUUGUGACUGCAUCGCUGGAGUGCGGCAGAGGGGGAUGGAAUUCCGCGUGUAGCAGUGAAAUGCGUAGAUAUGCGGAGGAACACCGAUGGCGAAGGCAAUCCCCUGGGCCUGCACUGACGCUCAUGCACGAAAGCGUGGGGAGCAAACAGG
Molecule: ribosomal RNA, 253 nt
Filed under: uncultured bacterium
Lineage: Bacteria
Description: partial 16S ribosomal RNA
Rfam family: Bacterial small subunit ribosomal RNA
Source: RNAcentral